Molecule: ribosomal RNA, 460 nt
Filed under: uncultured bacterium
Lineage: Bacteria
Description: partial 16S ribosomal RNA
Rfam family: Bacterial small subunit ribosomal RNA
Source: RNAcentral
CCUACGGGGGGCAGCAGUGAGGAAUAUUGGUCAAUGGACGAGAGUCUGAACCAGCCAAGUAGCGUGAAGGAUGACUGCCCUAUGGGUUGUAAACUUCUUUUAUAUGGGAAUAAAACGUUCCACGUGUGGGAUUUUGUAUGUACCAUAUGAAUAAGGAUCGGCUAACUCCGUGCCAGCAGCCGCGGUAAUACGGAGGAUCCGAGCGUUAGCCGGAUUUAUUGGGUUUAAAGGGAGCGUAGGUGGAUUGUUAAGUCAGUUGUGAAAGUUUGCGGCUCAACCGUAAAAUUGCAGUUGAAACUGGCAGUCUUGAGUACAGUAGAGGUGGGCGGAAUUCGUGGUGUAGCGGUGAAAUGCUUAGAUAUCACGAAGAACUCCGAUUGCGAAGGCAGUUCACUGGACUGCAACUGACACUGAGGCUCGAAAGUGUGGGUAUCAAACAGGAUUAGAUACCCUUGUAGUC